GCUGAUCUCCACAAUUAACUCUGCAAUAAUGUUGAAAAAAAACGGAAGCAUUAUUAAGUGUUUGAGAAAGUAAAUGAAAGGGUAGUUUCUUAUCCUGUUUUUCUUCGAAUUCUCUUAAUAACUGAUUUUCUCAUAAGUCAUGUUUAUGGGUAACAAGAAAUGUGUGGUUAUAAUACAUUUUUCCUUGUGCACAUGGCGUAUUGCUAAGACCAAGCAUGUGGAAGUGAUUUUCCGUAGAGAACCACACAGUCACGAGAAUUUCUGCCACAAUUUUAUUAGUGCCUUUAAUUUGCAAGAAUGUCUUGAUUUGUUUUCCUUGAGAUUUUGAGUUGUUGCAACAUUUAGUUGUAUAGUAGAUCACCAUCAAUCUGAAUCUACUACUCAAAUUGGUUGUCCCUCUUUUUAACUCUUGAGAAAUGUAGCAUCGUAUUUCAUUUUCUUAAUUUCUUUUAAUCCCUAUCUGCCCUUCUAGAGAGAUUUAUGUAUUAGAAUGAGUGUUGGUUAACCUGGAUGUAUGUGGUUAGUUCAUUUUGAUUUUAUCUUAGUCUUGAUUUCUUAAAGCUGCAGUUCAGAUUAACUACUCAACAAUAACUAUCGGGACCAGUGAUUUGAUCUUUCGGAAAGAGUAUCUCUACCUCCACGAGGUAGUGAUAAGAUCUGAUAAGAUAUGUUGUUGUUUGAACUCUAUUGAUUUGUAUAAUCUCUUCCUCAUUCUACUACUUAACUAUCACUAAGACUUCAGAGUCUUAAGUAUUGUUCAUGUUUAUUACCUACUUUACUGUUCUACAAGUGAUUUUGUUCCAAAAUUAAGUACACUAUGUCAGUUACCUGUUUUCCAGAUCAAACUGGAUAAAAAUGGUAUUGGGAAGAGAGGACAACAAAACAGGAAGUGAGAUGAGAGGGACGACAAAAUGGAAAAGGGAAGCGACAUGAAGGAG
Molecule: long non-coding RNA, 938 nt
Filed under: Solanum tuberosum (potato)
Lineage: Eukaryota; Viridiplantae; Streptophyta; Magnoliopsida; Solanales; Solanaceae
Description: long non-coding RNA (STUB_LNC009684)
Source: RNAcentral